RNAcentral lists this ribosomal RNA (251 nucleotides) under uncultured prokaryote. RNAcentral's name for it is "partial 16S rRNA". It matches the Rfam family "Bacterial small subunit ribosomal RNA", at positions 525 to 775 of the family's 1533-position model. The record is from RNAcentral.
ACGUAGGAGGCAAACGUUAUCCGGAUUUACUGAGCGUAAAGCGCGUGUAGGUGGUUCUGUAAGUAGGGCGUGAAAGCUCCUGGCUCAACUGGGAGAGGCCGUUCUAAACUGCAGAGCUAGAGGAUGGUAGAGGGAGGUGGAAUUCCGGGUGUAGCGGAGGAAUGCGCACAUAUCCGGAGGAAAACCCGUGUGAAAAGCGACCUAAUGGAACUAUCCUGACCCUCAGACGCGAAAUCUAUGGGAGCUAACGG